Talpa occidentalis (Iberian mole) is the source of this 856-nucleotide long non-coding RNA. RefSeq lists it as uncharacterized. The record is from RefSeq and is a predicted model, not a curated record. Lineage: Eukaryota; Metazoa; Chordata; Mammalia; Eulipotyphla; Talpidae. The transcript is spliced from 3 exons.
UGUAGCGCGACAGGCGGCUGGCGCCCAGCGUUGUCUUCCUGGGGAGGAGUGUGGGGAGCUGCUCUGGCGGGCCCGUUGCUGAUUGUUGGGCAUCACUCAAGACACCCUUGGGCUCCUCUUUCCAGCUGCGCUUGGUUCCUUUGGAAAGAAGUGCCACAUUCCUGGCAGUCAAUGAUCAGGAUUCUUUGGGAUCACAGAUGGGUGAUCUGUAAGCUCAGUUAUGGAGAAACCGAGGGGACUGAUGGAUUCUGAGUGAGAAACUGGACUUCGGGCAUGUUCAGAAUGUGAAAAUCUGCUGAUGUUUCCUCACCCUCCACUCCAGUGUGGUAUUUAGAGAAUAUCUAGAGGGGCCUGUGAAUAAACAUGGGCCAGGACGAAGAGCUCAGGCUUUACAUUGAGCCACCCCAUGACUACAAGGACCCCUGUUAAGGGAGGUGUUGCUGUCCAUGGACUAUGAGCGGGACAUAAUCCAGGAACUUUCAAUGGGCCAGAAGCACAGUGACGCAAUGGCCGGCUUCACCGAGCAGUGCCUGGGCUGCUCUCCACACCUGGGGAAGCUUCAGAGACUACACUAUCCCUGGGCACUGCUCCCUUCCCCUAAUCUUUUCUGUUUGUGAGGGAGAGUAUAUGGUUCUUGCAAAGUAUUUGGUUCUUCCAAAUCUUAAAGUAAAAUGGCUGCUCCACAAAGAUAUAUUCCAGACGCUCUGUUUUCCGUCAUCCCUGAAUAAAAUCGGGACCAUGUGUGCUGCAGCCUGAUAAGCUUGUAAUCAUGUUGUACUUGGAGUCAGGCUAUGGAGAAAAUAACAAGAGUUAUCACAGAAACCCCCAGCAACAACAACUGUAGUACCAAAGGGAC